CAUGCCUUCGUUUAGCUGCGGGGUUGGGAAACACUGCUGUGGAGACUGCGAUCACAGAUACUGCUGCUACUUUGCAUCUUCGAGGUUAUCCGAUUAUGAUCAAACAGUGUGCAUUAUUGAGAGAAACAUUAGUAUUGCCAUUGGCUUAUCAGUUGUAGGGUUUGUGGUCCUCAUCGUCUUUUUCAUCUGCUGCUGCUGCUGCUGCCCCUGCUGCUGUUUCUAUCAAAUGUGCAGAAAACCCAGAUCUGCGGUACAAACAAAUGUAACUACAGUCAUGAAUUCACAAUCCAUUCAGAUGCAGCCGGUAAUGCAGGUAGUCCAGCCCCAACAAUACCAACCAGUGCCGACUCAAGCAGGUUACGGGGGUCAGCCUAUGCAGACAGCACCAUAUCAGGGACAGUCAUAUGCACCAGAACCCCCACCCUCAUAUGACAUGGCCAGUAAGAACAUCUAGUGCUGGAUACACUGAGACCAUGCAGUAUCUGGAGUCUGGUCUGUUUUCUACUCCCUUCAGUCAGGCUGCACAUGAUGAAGAUCAGAUCAUGUACGCUCUACAAGCACAGCUUCAACCAGCGCUUCGCACAGACUACACCUCACUUCUACUGCUACACAACCCUGAUUACAUCGAUUCACCAGAGACCAGUUAAAACCCCAACAUACACACACACUCACACCCAAACACACACACACACACACACACACACACACAAACAAAUGGCCAGUUAUCAACUCUGGAUUGUGGAGGGUUUCACAUUCCCCCGCUUCUUCUACAGACUCUGAAAAGAUUGUGUUGAGAAUAAAAGUAUUGUUUCUUCAAUUUAGCUUAUACUUGCUUUCAAUACUCCAGUCAUGACCCACUGUUUGUUUGCAUCUCUUCAGAUUUGCUCUCAGUGUGGUUUGACACCUUUUGUUGUAUGGCUUUG
Carassius auratus (goldfish) is the source of this 923-nucleotide long non-coding RNA. RefSeq lists it as uncharacterized. The transcript has 4 exons. Lineage: Eukaryota; Metazoa; Chordata; Actinopteri; Cypriniformes; Cyprinidae. The record is from RefSeq and is a predicted model, not a curated record.